GCCCCCAAGGGUUGGACUGUUCGCCCAUUAAAAACCUACGUGAGCUGGGUUCAAAGCGUCGUAAGACAGCUUGGUCUCUAUCCGCAGUAACCGUUUUGAUUCUUGAGGGAAUCUGUCCCUAGUACGAAAGGACUGGGAUGGGCAAACCUCUGGUGGUCCAGCUGUGGCAUCAGCCGCAACGCUGGGUAGCUAUGUUUGUAGAGGAUAACCGCUGAAAGCAUCUCAAGCGGGAAGCCAAUCCCAAGAUGAAGAGUCUUUAAGAUCCCAGGGAGACUACCUGGUUGAUAGGCCGGAGGUGUAAGUUUGGCAACAAAUUAAGCCGACCGGUACUAAUGAUUUUCGGCAUUUAAAA
This 352-nucleotide ribosomal RNA is filed under the name Candidatus Shapirobacteria bacterium. Its description in RNAcentral is "partial 23S ribosomal RNA". It matches the Rfam family "Bacterial large subunit ribosomal RNA", at positions 2561 to 2925 of the family's 2925-position model. The record is from RNAcentral. Lineage: Bacteria; Candidatus Shapironibacteriota.